GAUGAACGCUCGCGAUAGGCUUAACACAUGCAAGUCGAGGGGCAGCAUGGUCUUAGCUUGCUAAGACUGAUGGCGACCGGCGCACGGGUGCGUAACGCGUAUGCAACUUGCCUCACAGAGGGGGAUAACCCGUCGAAAGACGGACUAAUACCGCGUACACUUGGGAUAGGGCAUCCUGACCCAAGGAAAUGAAAUUCGCUGUGAGAUAGGCAUGCGUCCCAUUAGCUAGUUGGUGAGGUAACGGCUCACCAAGGCGACGAUGGGUAGGGGAACUGAGAGGUUGAAACCCCACACUGGUACUGAGACACGGACCAGACUCCUACGGGAGGCAGCAGUGAGGAAUAUUGGUCAAUGGGCGAGAGCCUGAACCAGCCAAGUCGCGUGAAGGAUGACUGUCUUAUGGAUUGUAAACUUCCUUUAUACGGGAAUAACAAGAGCCACGUGUGGCUCCCUGCAUGUACCGUAUGAAUAAGCAUCGGCUAACUCCGUG
Molecule: ribosomal RNA, 490 nt
Filed under: uncultured bacterium
Lineage: Bacteria
Description: partial 16S ribosomal RNA
Rfam family: Bacterial small subunit ribosomal RNA
Source: RNAcentral